RNAcentral lists this ribosomal RNA (484 nucleotides) under uncultured bacterium. RNAcentral describes it as "partial 16S ribosomal RNA". It matches the Rfam family "Bacterial small subunit ribosomal RNA", at positions 29 to 507 of the family's 1533-position model. The record is from RNAcentral.
AUUGAACGCUGGCGGCAUGCUUUACACAUGCAAGUCGAACGGCAGCGCGGGCUUCGGCCUGGCGGCGCGUGGCGAACGGGUGAGUAAUACAUCGGAACGUGCCCAGUAGUGGGGGAUAGCUCGGCGAAAGCCGGAUUAAUACCGCAUACGACCUGAGGGUGAAAGCGGGGGGUCUUCGGACCUCGCGCUAUUGGGGCGGCCGAUGGCAGAUUAGCUAGUUGGUGGGGUAAAGGCCUACCAAGGCGACGAUCUGUAGCUGGUCUGAGAGGACGACCAGCCACACUGGGACUGAGACACGGCCAAGACUCCUACGGGAGGCAGCAGUGGGGAAUUUUGGACAAUGGGCGAAAGCCUGAUCCAGCAAUGCCGCGUGUGUGAUGAAGGCCUUCGGGUUGUAAAGCACUUUUGGCGGGAACGAAAAGGACUGUGCCAAUACCACGGUUCGAUGACGGUACCCGCAGAAUAAGCACCGGCUAACUACGUG